UGGACCAGAGGCGGAGAGCAGAGGGGUGAAGGUAACCUGGACCAAAAGCGGAGAGCAGAAGGGUGAAGGUAACCUGGACCAAAAGCAGAGAGCAGAGGGGUGAAGGUAACCUGGACCAAAAGCAGAGAGCAGAGGGGUGAAGGUAACCUGGACCAAAAGCAGAGAGCAGAGGGGUGAAGGUAACCUGGACCAGAGGCGGAGAGCAGAGGGGUGAAGGUAACC
Brienomyrus brachyistius is the source of this 222-nucleotide long non-coding RNA. RefSeq lists it as uncharacterized. The record is from RefSeq and is a predicted model, not a curated record. The transcript has 3 exons. Lineage: Eukaryota; Metazoa; Chordata; Actinopteri; Osteoglossiformes; Mormyridae.